Molecule: transfer RNA, 78 nt
Filed under: Kryptoperidinium foliaceum
Lineage: Eukaryota; Dinophyceae; Peridiniales; Kryptoperidiniaceae
Source: RNAcentral
AGCAAGCGCCGCGCUGUCGGUGGAAACCAGUGGCUCUCCGGAGCGGUUGCAAGCAUGGAUGGCGGCCGUACUGGGCUG